AUGUCAGAGGAAAGGAUGACAGAGAGGUCCAAUCAACUGAAGGAGAAAAUAAUCGGGUUAUUUUCGUGCGGUACCAUAGUUGAGCAACUGAACCUUGUAGACACACUCCAACACCUAAGCGUAGAUCAUCAUUUUCAUGAAAAAAUUGACUCCACAUUAAGAAGCGCUCAUGCUGGUGAAUUCAAUAGCUCCAGCCUUCAUCAUGUCGUCCUUCGGUUCCGCAUACUGAGGCAGCAAGGCUUUUGGGUGUCUCCGGGUAUACACUAA
This 267-nucleotide ribosomal RNA is filed under the name Triticum aestivum (bread wheat). RNAcentral describes it as "partial small subunit ribosomal RNA". The record is from RNAcentral. Lineage: Eukaryota; Viridiplantae; Streptophyta; Magnoliopsida; Poales; Poaceae.